CGUGAUGGUGUCAUCGCUCACAUGUUGACUUCUUAUCCAGCUCACUGGCUGUUGCUCACUCUUCUAUAUUUAGAGCUUGUUAUCUGACGCUGCAUCCCUCGCUCUCCCUCACUCUCCUCCUCUCCUGAUCAUCGUUUUCACAGUCUUUCAGAAAGUGUUGAUGUAAAACUGUGGCACAUUACAAAAAAAAAAGCUUUAUUGACAGCAUCAUGUGGCGACGGAGCUACCUGCAGACCCAGAGGCCGAUUAUCAUGAUGUCGGAGAAUUUGGAGCCGAGUGAUGAUGUCAGCCUCCUGCACCCCCACGAGUUGGAGUCCCCGAGGGAGGAGGACGGACACUGCCCCCUGCCCUUCAGGCUGCAGCUGAUUGACGACCUGUCCUACGAAGACGUGAAGAAGUGCUACAGAGGAUCGGUGAGAAACUCAAUG
Sander lucioperca (pikeperch) is the source of this 428-nucleotide long non-coding RNA. RefSeq lists it as uncharacterized. The transcript has 3 exons. The record is from RefSeq and is a predicted model, not a curated record. Lineage: Eukaryota; Metazoa; Chordata; Actinopteri; Perciformes; Percidae.